GGUCUCAAAGUCAGGAGGAGUCCCGCCCACCUCCUGGUUCAGCACGCCAUGGUGAGCAUCGUGUCUUCAUCUCCGAAAAGGUCUGGCAGAAGCUAACACCCAGCAGCCUGAUUCCUGGAGGGGUUGUUAGACCCAUUUUAUAAAAGGGAGGAUUAAGACUGAGCAGGUCUUCAAGCACCUGAGGUGGACUUCCCUGCCCCAUGUACCGCUAUUUUGGCUGUUUUGUACUUGGUGGAGCAGAAAGAAUGCUAAAGCAGGAAUGCAGGUGAUUCUGAAGCUCGGCCUUGAAGGGAUCACCACUAGAUAUUUUCCCUUAUGGUCUCUGCAGGACAAUAGACCAAGGAGACGGAGACACUGGUAUGUGCAUAUUCUGCGGCGCAACAGCAGAAAGGAUGGAGGGCCUUUAUGUUGUCUGAUAAUGCAGCUCUUUGAAACAUUGCUGGCGGACUCUCUUCACAUCAUGUCACACAGGACAAGAAACGGGACAGGCCCUCUCUGCUUCUCGAUUCAUCGACCUGCCAUACAAUACAACAAACCAGCUUUUUCAAGGCCCCCUGAAUGA
Molecule: long non-coding RNA, 562 nt
Filed under: Aotus nancymaae (Ma's night monkey)
Lineage: Eukaryota; Metazoa; Chordata; Mammalia; Primates; Aotidae
Description: lncRNA (ENSANAG00000038853.1)
Source: RNAcentral